RNAcentral lists this ribosomal RNA (468 nucleotides) under uncultured bacterium. RNAcentral's name for it is "partial 16S ribosomal RNA". It matches the Rfam family "Bacterial small subunit ribosomal RNA", at positions 28 to 507 of the family's 1533-position model. The record is from RNAcentral.
GACGAACGCUGGCGGCGUGCUUAACACAUGCAAGUCGAACGGAAAGGCCCUGCUUUUGUGGGGUGCUCGAGUGGCGAACGGGUGAGUAACACGUGAGUAACCUGCCCUUGACUGUGUGAUAAAUUCAGGAAACACGGGCGAAUACCGGAUAGGAGCUCCUGCUGCAUGGUGGGGGUUGGUAAGAUUCGGCGGUUGUGGCUGGAUUGGCUGCUUAUCAGCUUGUUGGUGGGGUAGGUGCUUUCCAGGGCUUUGACGGGUAGCCGGCCUGGGAGGGUGGACGGCGACAUUGGGCCUGAGAGACGGCCCAGACUCCUACGGGCCGCAGUAGUGGGGAACAUUGCGCAGCAGGCGGAAGUCAGAUGCAGCAACGCCGCGUGCGGGAUGACGGCUUUCGGGUGGUAAACCGAUUUCGAAUGUGCCGAAGAGUGCUUGACGGUACUGGGUAAAGAAGCCCCGGCUAACUACGUG